GACGAACGCUGGCGGCGUGCUUAACACAUGCAAGUCGAACGAUGAAGCCCAGCUUGCUGGGUGGAUUAGUGGCGAACGGGUGAGUAACACGUGAGUAACCUGCCCCUGACUUCGGGAUAACUGCGAGAAAUCGUGGCUAAUACCGGAUAUGCACAUGUGCCUGCAUGGGUGUGUGUGGAAAGAUUUAUCGGUUGGGGAUGGGCUCGCGGCCUAUCAGCUUGUUGGUGGGGUGAUGGCCUACCAAGGCGACGACGGGUAGCCGGCCUGAGAGGGUGACCGGCCACACUGGGACUGAGACACGGCCCAGACUCCUACGGGAGGCAGCAGUGGGGAAUAUUGCACAAUGGGCGCAAGCCUGAUGCAGCGACGCCGCGUGAGGGAUGACGGCCUUCGGGUUGUAAACCUCUUUCAGUAGGGAAGAAGCCUUCGGGUGACGGUACCUGCAGAAGAAGCGCCGGCUAACUACGUGCCAGCAGCCGCGGUAAUACGUAGGGCGCAAGCGUUGUCCGGAAUUAUUGGGCGUAAAGAGCUCGUAGGCGGUUUGUCGCGUCUGCUGUGAAAACGCAAGGCUUAACCUUGCGCCUGCAGUGGGUACGGGCAGACUAGAGUGCGGUAGGGGAGACUGGAAUUCCUGGUGUAGCGGUGGAAUGCGCAGAUAUCAGGAGGAACACCGAUGGCGAAGGCAGGUCUCUGGGCCGUUACUGACGCUGAGGAGCGAAAGCAUGGGGAGCGAACAGGAUUAGAUACCCUGGUAGUCCAUGCCGUAAACGUUGGGCACUAGGUGUGGGAUCCAUUCCACGGGUUCCGUGCCGCAGCUAACGCAUUAAGUGCCCCGCCUGGGGAGUACGGCCGCGAGGCUAAAACUCAAAGGAAUUGACGGGGGCCCGCACAAGCGGCGGAGCAUGCGGAUUAAUUCGAUGCAACGCGAAGAACCUUACCAAGGCUUGACAUACACCGGAAAAGUGCAGAGAUGUGCUCCCCGUAAGGUCGGUGUACAGGUGGUGCAUGGUUGUCGUCAGCUCGUGUCGUGAGAUGUUGGGUUAAGUCCCGCAACGAGCGCAACCCUUGUCCUGUGUUGCCAGCGGGUUAUGCCGGGGACUCAUGGGAGACUGCCGGGGUCAACUCGGAGGAAGGUGGGGAUGACGUCAAAUCAUCAUGCCCCUUAUGUCUUGGGCUUCACGCAUGCUACAAUGGCCGGUACAAAGGGCUGCGAUACCGCGAGGUGGAGCGAAUCCCAAAAAGCCGGUCUCAGUUCGGAUUGGGGUCUGCAACUCGACCCCAUGAAGUCGGAGUCGCUAGUAAUCGCAGAUCAGCAACGCUGCGGUGAAUACGUUCUCGGGCCU
RNAcentral lists this ribosomal RNA (1343 nucleotides) under uncultured bacterium. RNAcentral describes it as "bacterial SSU rRNA". It matches the Rfam family "Bacterial small subunit ribosomal RNA", at positions 28 to 1381 of the family's 1533-position model. The record is from RNAcentral.